RNAcentral lists this long non-coding RNA (610 nucleotides) under Homo sapiens (human). Its description in RNAcentral is "LHRI_LNC1651.2". The record is from RNAcentral. Lineage: Eukaryota; Metazoa; Chordata; Mammalia; Primates; Hominidae.
AGCACUAGUUGGCCACAGAUGUGGAUUUAAGUUUUCUAGCUGCCAAAAUGUAAAGAGGGAAACACGAUCCUCUGCAGGACUCAACAGUAUCCCUGAGAUCGAAUCUGACAAACUGCUCAGAAGGGGCACCUAUGCUUUUCCCUGAGAUGAAUGUCUCCCAUCGUCAGAUGUCAGAUUCUGGAUCUAUUUUGACAAGAGAGCUCAAAGGAUUUCUUCACAGAUGGAAAUGAGGGGUGCUAGACCUCCAGAGAGAGAAAAUGAGACACAUAAGGUGGAAAUUACUCUGUGGUGACACACUGUGGAGUCCUGCCCACAACCCGGAUACUUGGACCCACUCCACUGAAACCUUAGGCCACAGCUAAGUUCCUUCCUUCAAAAAAUAAAUCUAAGAAAGAGGAAAAACAGGAAUGACCUCCUUUCAGGCACUCUGUUGGUUUUAUGGCGCCUCUUCUUGCGAAUGUUUGUGUAAAAUUGACAUACUGUGGUCCUUUUCUGCACAAUUACGGCAAGGAAAAUUCAGAUCGCAAAGGUCCACCUUUCAUCUGCAUCUCAUUACCGGGUAGCAGGAAUAAGUAGGCUGACCCUCAGUUUGGACCGGGAACAGCUGUGU